Molecule: ribosomal RNA, 253 nt
Filed under: uncultured bacterium
Lineage: Bacteria
Description: partial 16S ribosomal RNA
Rfam family: Bacterial small subunit ribosomal RNA
Source: RNAcentral
GACGAACCGUGCGAACGUUAUUCGGAAUCACUGGGCUUAAAGGGCGCGUAGGCGGGCAGGUAAGUCCGUGGUGAAAUCUCUGAGCUUAACUCAGAAACUGCCAUGGAUACUAUUUGUCUUGAAUAUUGUGGAGGUAAGCGGAAUAUGUCAUGUAGCGGUGAAAUGCUUAGAUAUGACAUAGAACACCAAUUGCGAAGGCAGCUUACUACACAGUUAUUGACGCUGAGGCACGAAAGCGUGGGGAUCAAACAGG